AUUGAACGCUGGCGGCAGGCCUAACACAUGCACGUCUAACGAUUGGCGGACGGGUGAGUAAUGUCUGGGAAACUGCCUGAUGGAGGGGGAUAACUUCUGGUAACGGUAGCUAAUACCGCAUACCAUCGAAUGUACCCAGAUGGGAUUCGCUAGUAGGUGGGGUAACGGCUCACCUAGGCGACGAUCCCUAGCUGGUCUGAGAGGAUGACCAGCCACACUGGAACUGAGACACGGUCCAGAAUCCUACGGGAGGCAGCAGUGGGGAAUAUUGCACAAGGGGCGCAAGCCUGAUGCAGCCAUGCCGCGUGUAUGAAGAAGGCCUUCGGGUUGUAAAGUACUUUCAGCGGGGAGGCGUUACCCGCAGAAGAAGCACCGGCUAACUCCGUGCCAGCAGCCGCGGUAAUUC
Molecule: ribosomal RNA, 406 nt
Filed under: uncultured bacterium
Lineage: Bacteria
Description: partial 16S ribosomal RNA
Rfam family: Bacterial small subunit ribosomal RNA
Source: RNAcentral